RNAcentral lists this ribosomal RNA (250 nucleotides) under uncultured bacterium. RNAcentral's name for it is "partial 16S ribosomal RNA". It matches the Rfam family "Bacterial small subunit ribosomal RNA", at positions 527 to 776 of the family's 1533-position model. The record is from RNAcentral.
AUGGGGUGCAAACGUUGCUCGGAAUUAUUGGGCGUAAAGCGCACGUAGGCGGUUUGUUAAGUCGGAUGUGAAAUCCCUCGGCUCAACUGAGGAAGUGCAUCCGAAACUGGCAAGCUUGAGUACGAAAGAGGGUCGCGGAAUUCCCGGUGUAGAGGUGAAAUUCGUAGAUAUCGGGAGGAACACCGGUGGCGAAGGCGGCGACCUGGGUCGAUACUGACGCUGAGGAGCGAAAGCCAGGGGAGCAAACGGG